This 501-nucleotide ribosomal RNA is filed under the name uncultured bacterium. Its description in RNAcentral is "bacterial SSU rRNA". It matches the Rfam family "Bacterial small subunit ribosomal RNA", at positions 8 to 526 of the family's 1533-position model. The record is from RNAcentral.
AGAGUUUGAUCAUGGCUCAGGACGAACGCUGGCGGCGCGCCUAAAACAUGCAAGUCGAACGAGAAGCCCGGGCUUGCCCGGGUGGACAGUGGCGAACGGGUGAGUAACACGUGAGGAACCUGCCCCGAAGACCGGGACAACACCGGGAAACCGGUGCUAAUACCGGAUGCCUUCACCGGAUCGCAUGGUCUGGUGAAGAAAUGGAUUCCGCUUCGGGAUGGCCUCGCGGCCUAUCAGCUUGUUGGUGAGGUAACGGCUCACCAAGGCAACGACGGGUAGCUGGUCUGAGAGGAUGUCCAGCCACACUGGGACUGAGACACGGCCCAGACUCCUACGGGAGGCAGCAGUUAGGAAUCUUGCGCAAUGGACGAAAGUCUGACGCAGCGACGCCGCGUGCGGGAUGAAGGCCCUCGGGUUGUAAACCGCUUUCAGCAGGGACGAAAUUGACGGUACCUGCAGAAGAAGCCCCGGCCAACUACGUGCCAGCAGCGGCGGUAAUUC